This 255-nucleotide ribosomal RNA is filed under the name uncultured bacterium. Its description in RNAcentral is "partial 16S ribosomal RNA". It matches the Rfam family "Bacterial small subunit ribosomal RNA", at positions 526 to 779 of the family's 1533-position model. The record is from RNAcentral.
CGGAGGAUCCAAGCGUUAUCCGGAAUUACUGGGCGUAAAGAGUUGCGUAGGUGGCAUUGUAAGUAGGUAGUGAAAGCGUUCGGCUCAACCGGAUAAACAUUAUCUAAACUGCAAAGCUAGAGGACAAGAGAGGUUAUUGGAAUUCCUUGUGUAGGAGUGAAAUCCGUAGAUAUAAGGAGGAACACCGAUGGCGUAGGCAGAUAACUGGCUUGUUCCUGACACUAAGGCACGAAAGCGUGGGUAGCAAACGGGAUU